GAGCUGUGAAAAAAUUGGCAAUAGCGUUGGUUGGGUCCUUCGCAGUCAUCUGCUUCAUGUGAUGAGAUAUUCCACCACUGAGCUC
Molecule: non-coding RNA, 85 nt
Organism: Brassica napus (rape)
Lineage: Eukaryota; Viridiplantae; Streptophyta; Magnoliopsida; Brassicales; Brassicaceae
Source: Rfam